This 612-nucleotide ribosomal RNA is filed under the name Pontibacillus sp. TA53. Its description in RNAcentral is "bacterial SSU rRNA". It matches the Rfam family "Bacterial small subunit ribosomal RNA", at positions 173 to 775 of the family's 1533-position model. Lineage: Bacteria; Bacillati; Bacillota; Bacilli; Caryophanales; Bacillaceae. The record is from RNAcentral.
CCCAGUGAACUGCAUGGUUCACUGGUAAAAGGCGGUUUCGGCCGUCACUCAUGGAUGGGCCCGCGGCGCAUUAGCUAGUUGGUAAGGUAACGGCUUACCAAGGCAACGAUGCGUAGCCGACCUGAGAGGGUGAUCGGCCACACUGGGACUGAGACACGGCCCAGACUCCUACGGGAGGCAGCAGUAGGGAAUCUUCCGCAAUGGACGAAAGUCUGACGGAGCAACGCCGCGUGAACGAUGAAGGUCUUCGGAUCGUAAAGUUCUGUUGUUAGGGAAGAACAAGUACCAGAGGAAAUGCUGGUACCUUGACGGUACCUAACCAGAAAGCCACGGCUAACUACGUGCCAGCAGCCGCGGUAAUACGUAGGUGGCAAGCGUUGUCCGGAAUUAUUGGGCGUAAAGCGCGCGCAGGCGGUUUCUUAAGUCUGAUGUGAAAGCCCACAGCUCAACUGUGGAGGGCCAUUGGAAACUGGGGAACUUGAGUACAGAAGAGGAGAGUGGAAUUCCACGUGUAGCGGUGAAAUGCGUAGAUAUGUGGAGGAACACCAGUGGCGAAGGCGACUCUCUGGUCUGUAACUGACGCUGAGGCGCGAAAGCGUGGGUAGCAAACAG